ACCUUCUGGCAAUAGGCAAAGAGACACCUUGUUGGUGUUGUUCUUAUAUCAGUCAGGGCUAGAGCAGAUGGCAAUCCUUUGUUUAUCCUGGCUUGAUGCCUGGCUUGGUAGCCAAAGUUGCCUUAUGCCUAGGACUCAUAA
Small nucleolar RNA from Arvicanthis niloticus (Nile rat), 141 nucleotides. RefSeq annotates it as small nucleolar RNA SNORA48. NCBI's taxonomy places the organism in Eukaryota, Metazoa, Chordata, Mammalia, Rodentia, Muridae. The record is from RefSeq and is a predicted model, not a curated record.